This 660-nucleotide ribosomal RNA is filed under the name Digenea sp. furcocercous cercaria. RNAcentral describes it as "partial large subunit ribosomal RNA". Lineage: Eukaryota; Metazoa; Platyhelminthes; Trematoda. The record is from RNAcentral.
AGCUGAUGAGUAAGGCAUGAGCUUGGGCAUAUUGGUCGGCUUUCAGAGUUCGCUUAGUUGCGAGUCCUUUCCCUACCGGGUUUGGAUGUGCGUUGCGCUCAUUAGGCGCUGUGCGCUCUGUCUGUUCCGGGCCUGCUCGUCAGUGCACUUCCUCAGGGUGUUCACCACGACCGGCGCUGCUGUCUGUCUGUUGCGGUCAAACCGGUUAGGCUUAGUCAUUUUGGCUAGGUCUGGUCGGGAUGGCAGGUGGCUCUUGAGUUCUUCUGGCUUCGGCUGGUUUGAGCUUUUGAGUGUAAUUAGCCGACUGUGACGGAUCUGUGCAGUGCGUCGGGGCUGGCGGCUUUGGUGUGUGUACGCGUGCUGUAGCUUACUGGCUUAGUCAGGUCUGGUUGGUGUGUUACCUGCUUUGGUGGGUCUGCCAAUGUCUUGGCUUUGCGUGGUGGGUGGUGGCGCGUGCGAUACUAGCUAGGGCCAAAAGUCUGUGGUGUUGUGGUAAACGAUCCACCCGACCCGUCUUGAAACACGGACCAAGGAGUUUAACAUGUACGCGAGUCAUUGGGCGUUACGAAACCCAAAGGCGCAGUGAAAGUAAAGGUUCGGCUUGUCCGAGCUGAGGUGAGAUCCUGCUGUUCCUCUGCCUUGGACUACCAAGCAAUCGAG